Molecule: transfer RNA, 74 nt
Filed under: Spirochaetota bacterium
Lineage: Bacteria; Pseudomonadati; Spirochaetota
Description: Spirochaetes bacterium (hot springs metagenome) tRNA-Pro
Rfam family: tRNA
About the family: Transfer RNA (tRNA) molecules are approximately 80 nucleotides in length. Their secondary structure includes four short double-helical elements and three loops (D, anti-codon, and T loops).
Source: RNAcentral
CGGGUCAUAGCGCAGUAUGGUAGCGCGCCUGGUUCGGGACCAGGAAGUCCCGGGUUCAAGUCCCGGUGACCCGA